RNAcentral lists this long non-coding RNA (2216 nucleotides) under Marmota monax (woodchuck). Lineage: Eukaryota; Metazoa; Chordata; Mammalia; Rodentia; Sciuridae. The record is from RNAcentral.
CGGAGAUGGAACUGGGAAAUUUGCCCACACUAAGUAGGCAUUUGCGUAUUUCUUAGGCUGUUCUAAUUGGAAGGUAAUGUCUAACAAUAGUUUAAGAACUGGAAGUUGGGUUCGUUAGUGACUCGGUGACGACACAUUGCUAAGGUCUGGGUGGGAGACCAAGAGAAGCCCUACAGCCUUUUACGUGGUUCUAGAAAACCUACAGCACCCAAAUGAGCCCAAAUACAGCGUUAGAAACGUCAGAGGCUGAAGACAGGUGGCUUGUCUCUGUGUCCAGUCCGGACCCAGAUGUCUGUUUUCCACCACCCUAUCCCCCCCCCCCCGCCCAGUCUUUUCCAGACUGCCCCCAGGGACUUGUGAAUAUAUAUCUUCAAAGUUCUUUAUCAGGGUUUGUCUUUACCCCUCUCCCUGUUGGUCAGCCUCCCGCUUUGCCCUGCAAACUGGAGAAGAUGUUUUCCACAAUCUGGAACUACUCCCCAAACUACCCCCCACCCCCAACCAGGGCAAUCAGUGUUUACUGAAGGGUAACUGGCCAGAGGGAGAGGCCUGAAGACAGAAGCACUCAGGGAGCUGGCAGCUUCAAAGCCUGGAGGAGGCCCUCCUGUCCCUCCAUCCUCCUGGACACACACCUGAUUCCCUCGCUGCUCUCCCCUCCCCCAUCAGCAUCUCUGGGACCUCCAGGUUUAUGGUGCUUUUAUGAAGCCUUGCUGUGUGAAUGGUCUUUGCUAGGGACAAUCAGGUCUUCGUUCCCCUGUUGCCUUAAGAGGCCUAAUCCCUUCAGUUUGUGCCAGGCAUUCCUGUUCACUAAAAAAAAAAGUGUUUUCAUAUUAGUGACACGUGUUUGUUUAAAGAAACCUGGAACUUGAGAAAACUAGAUGGCUUAGUAAAAAUAGCAAAUGCUGAAAAGUUGCUCAGAUUGAAACACAAUGAGAUGCCAUCUAAUUGGUGCAUUUUACUUAAAUAAGAGAAAUUAUCCAAAUUCUGGAAAUAAGAUGAAAAGGAUAGUCAUGCAUUCAAUGUCAUGUUGAAUUAUUGUUUAAAAGCCCAAAGAUUACUUAAUUUCUUUGGACCAUAUACCUUUCUUUUAUUUUGCUAUUUAUUAUUAACAAUAUGCUAGGACUGUGAAGUCAUGUAAAUUUGUAAAUUUAUGCCCACAACCGAUACAAAUAAUUUUUGUCCAGAAAAAAUGAAGUUUACCUUAAAGGUUAUCAUUUAUUGCCCUUUAGGACAUUAAAUGUUUUUUUUUUAAUCUAGCCUAGUAAGCUUAUUUUAACUUUUAUUUUUAAAAGAUCAUAUAAACCUAGGCCCUCAAGUGGUCUUUGAAUCAGCCUUAUCAUGUUACAAAUUCUCAUUAAUUAACAAGUAGAAUAUUUUUGGACACAUAUUUGCAGAACCAUUUGAGAGUCAUACUUCCAACCUGUAAAAAAAAAAAAAUUGCUUGUACAAGUUCAACCAGAACAAGAGCUUUUGCAAGGGUGUGGAGAGACAAGGACCUUUAUAGACUAAUAUUGGUGCAUCAGUUGGAAGAGGUUCUUUGGAAAACAGGUUUGCGAUAUUUGUUAAAACAAUAACAAAAACAAAUGUGUAUAACUUGUGUCCCAACAAUUCCCUUUUCUAGGAUUCAAUCCUGGAGAAACAUUUCCACAUAUGUACUGAGAGAAACACACAGGGACAUUCAUUGUUGCACAGUUUACUAAAGUGAGAAAUUGUAAGUGAUUUAAAUGUUCGUUGAAAGGGAGAAGAAUAAAUUACUGCCACAUGAAUAAAUUACAGCAUAAUGGUCUACUACGAAUCCACAAAAAUGAAUCAGUUAAAAAAGCCUGGACCAAUCUCAGUUACAGAAUGUCAGUGGAAAUAGGUGAUGGGUAUAAUAUGGUAAUAUAGCUACACAUAACAAAACAACAAUAAAUUUAGAAAGGGACCUACCAAAUCAGUAAAGUUCCUUUAGAGGUGGUGAACAAGUCCAGAUGGGAGGGUGUCAAGAGAAUUUUUGCUUUUUCUAUAAUGCUCUUAUGUACAUUUUUAAUUAAAUAAAUGCAUCUAUUACUUGUGUAAUUUUUAAUAGGGGAAUGGGGCCUCUGGGAGGCCAGUCAGUAGUGCUUGACUCCAGAUGGUGGGAAUACGUGCUAUUAAUAUUCUCUUCUUAAUAUUUUUCUGUGUUUUAAAUAUUUUCUAAGGGUGAUGAAGAAAAUGAGGAAAGAAUCCCUGAAAUAAAU